ACUCCUACGGGAGGCAGCAGUGGGGAAUAUUGGACAAUGGGCGCAAGCCUGAUCCAGCAAUGCCGCGUGUGUGAAGAAGGCCUGCGGGUUGUAAAGCACUUUUGUUCGGGAAGAAGGCACGUUGGUUAAUACCCGACGUGGAUGACGGUACCGAAAGAAUAAGCACCGGCUAACUUCGUGCCAGCAGCCGCGGUAAUACGAAGGGUGCAAGCGUUAAUCGGAAUUACUGGGCGUAAAGCGUGCGUAGGCGGCUUUUUAAGUCGGAUGUGAAAUCCCCGGGCUCAACCUGGGAAUGGCAUCCGAUACUGGGGAGCUGGAGUUUGGGAGAGGGUGGUGGAAUUCCCGGUGUAGCGGUGAAAUGCGUAGAGAUCGGGAGGAACAUCAGUGGCGAAGGCGGCCACCUGGCCUAAAACUGACGCUGAGGCACGAAAGCGUGGGGAGCAAACAGGAUUAGAUACCCUGGUAGUC
This 468-nucleotide ribosomal RNA is filed under the name uncultured bacterium. RNAcentral's name for it is "bacterial SSU rRNA". It matches the Rfam family "Bacterial small subunit ribosomal RNA", at positions 335 to 795 of the family's 1533-position model. The record is from RNAcentral.